RNAcentral lists this ribosomal RNA (416 nucleotides) under uncultured bacterium. Its description in RNAcentral is "bacterial SSU rRNA". It matches the Rfam family "Bacterial small subunit ribosomal RNA", at positions 355 to 787 of the family's 1533-position model. The record is from RNAcentral.
UGGGGAAUAUUGCACAAUGGGGAGACCCUGAUGCAGCGACGCCGCGUGAGCGAAGAAGUAUUUCGGUAUGUAAAGCUCUAUCAGCAGGGAAGAAAGUGACGGUACCUGACUAAGAAGCCCCGGCUAACUACGUGCCAGCAGCCGCGGUAAUACGUAGGGGGCAAGCGUUAUCCGGAUUUACUGGGUGUAAAGGGAGCGCAGGCGGCGCGGUAAGUCUGAUGUGAAAGCCCGGGGCUCAACCCCGGGCAGCUGCAUUGGAAACUGUCGUGCUGGAGUGUCGGAGGGGCAAGUGGAAUUCCUAGUGUAGCGGUGAAAUGCGUAGAUAUUAGGAGGAACACCAGUGGCGAAGGCGGCUUGCUGGACGACAACUGACGCUGAGGCUCGAAAGCGUGGGGAGCAAACAGGAUUAGAUACCC